CAAACCUCAAGCCUUUGCUUGCUGUUGGGGUGUUGCAUGUCUUGUAAAAGAGUGCAAGCCCUGAAUUAUAGUGGCGGAGCUGUUGUAGACUCUGAACGUAGUAAUACUAUUCGUUCUGGAAUCUCAGCAGUGCCUGCCGUAAAACCCACUAUAUUUUUCUUGU
This 163-nucleotide unclassified non-coding RNA is filed under the name uncultured Diaporthales. Its description in RNAcentral is "sequence contains ITS2". Lineage: Eukaryota; Fungi; Ascomycota; Sordariomycetes; Diaporthales. The record is from RNAcentral.